This is a small nucleolar RNA of Polyodon spathula (Mississippi paddlefish), 195 nucleotides long. RefSeq annotates it as small nucleolar RNA SNORD97. The transcript has a single exon. The record is from RefSeq and is a predicted model, not a curated record. NCBI's taxonomy places the organism in Eukaryota, Metazoa, Chordata, Actinopteri, Acipenseriformes, Polyodontidae.
AUGCCCAGUGAUUAUAAAAAGACGCGUUAUUGUGAGGGGAAAAAUACUAGAACCAGUUUCUUUCUCUUCAUUCUAGCCUUUUAUUCACCGCUUUUUCCUAGUCCCACUUCUCUUCCUUUACCCCCACCCUAACUUCACUUCUUUCAACUGGAAGACCUAGUAUCCGCUGAACGUGAUUAUGAGAUAUGAGGGCAU